This 123-nucleotide ribosomal RNA is filed under the name Bacillus spizizenii. RNAcentral describes it as "partial 23S ribosomal RNA". It matches the Rfam family "Bacterial large subunit ribosomal RNA", at positions 2803 to 2925 of the family's 2925-position model. Lineage: Bacteria; Bacillati; Bacillota; Bacilli; Caryophanales; Bacillaceae. RNAcentral also lists the same sequence under 3 other names. The record is from RNAcentral.
GAUGAGAUUUCCCAUUCCGCAAGGAAGUAAGAUCCCUGAAAGAUGAUCAGGUUGAUAGGUCUGAGGUGGAAGUGUGGCGACACAUGGAGCUGACAGAUACUAAUCGAUCGAGGACUUAACCAC